GAUGAACGCUGGCGGCGUGCUUAACACAUGCAAGUCGAACGGAAAGGCCCAAGCUUGCUUGGGUACUCGAGUGGCGAACGGGUGAGUAACACGUGGGUGAUCUGCCCUGCACUUCGGGAUAAGCCUGGGAAACUGGGUCUAAUACCGGAUAGGACCACAUUUUGGAUGGUGUGGUGGAAAGUUUUUCGGUGUGGGAUGAACUCGCGGCCUAUCAGCUUGUUGGUGGGGUAAUGGCCUACCAAGGCGUCGACGGGUAGCCGGCCUGAGAGGGUGUACGGCCACAUUGGGACUGAGAUACGGCCCAGACUCCUACGGGAGGCAGCAGUGGGGAAGAUUGCACAAUGGGCGCAAGCCUGAUGCAGCGACGCCGCGUGGGGGAUGACGGCCUUCGGGUUGUAAACUCCGUUCGCUAGGGACGAAGCGUUAUGUGACGGUACCUGGAGAAGAAGCACCGGCUAACUACGUG
Molecule: ribosomal RNA, 466 nt
Filed under: uncultured bacterium
Lineage: Bacteria
Description: partial 16S ribosomal RNA
Rfam family: Bacterial small subunit ribosomal RNA
Source: RNAcentral